Molecule: ribosomal RNA, 450 nt
Filed under: uncultured bacterium
Lineage: Bacteria
Description: bacterial SSU rRNA
Rfam family: Bacterial small subunit ribosomal RNA
Source: RNAcentral
UGGGGAAUAUUGCGCAAUGGGCGAAAGCCUGACGCAGCGACGCCGCGUGGAGGAUGAAGGUCUUAGGAUUGUAAACUCCUGUCAGGUGGGAAGAAAAGAUUUGUUUUUAAUAGAGAUGAAUUAUGACGGUACCAUCAGAGGAAGCACCGGCUAACUUCGUGCCAGCAGCCGCGGUAAUACGAAGGGUGCGAGCGUUAUUCGGAAUCACUGGGCGUAAAGGGUGCGUAGACGGUUUGUUAAGUUUGUCGUUAAAGACUCUAGCCUAACUGGAGGGUUGCGAUGAAAACUGGCAAGCUAGAGGGUGAGAGAGAGAAGUGGAAUUCCUGGAGUAGCGGUAAAAUGCGUGGAUCUCAGGAGGAACACCAAUGGCGAAGGCAGCUUCUUGGCUCAUUCCUGACGUUGAGGCACGAAAGCGUGGGGAGCGAACAGGAUUAGAUACCCCCGUAGUCC